GGCACGCUGCCGGGAACGGGGAGGGAGGGGAACAGCGGAGCCGCGCGGAGGCUGGGAGGCUUCCCCAGCCCCGAGGCAGGGCGUGCGGGGAAGCGGUGGCUGCAGCAGCACGGAGGCAGUCGCUUCCCACGCCCGGCAGGCAGGACCGACCCCGGCCCGGCUGUACGUGCGGGACCCGCCGCCACCCGCCAGUGAGAGCUGCCCAGACGCGCUGGGAGCGGUGACGGUGAGAUGAUGUCCCCGCACCGACUGCCUCUGACCUACUGCUCCUGCUCAAUGCAUCCUCUGGCUCCCUCCUGAGCCAGAUCCCCUCCCUUCCCCGUGCUGGAUGAAGUAUGGAGUCCGGUGGCAGGAUGUUGUGCUGGAAGUUAACAUUGCCCUAUAGGAGCUCACAGAUUCAUCACAACACCUUGAGAGAAGCAGGAUUAUAACUUGGCCGACCUGGUGGUGUGAUGUUCCAAUGGAGCUUGGUGAUAUUUGUCUCACAUUAUUACCAUGUUACAAAGAGACCAUGUCCCAGAGACUAUUACCAGAACCUAUGUAGAAGGUACUAGUAGGGAGAGGCUGCAGUCUCCAACCCUGUUGCAGUGAUGAGUUUCCAGAGUGCUCUCUUUUUCUUCAUUGGAUUGGUAUCCUCCAUCCAUCUAUGUUCUGGCAGUGGGUUCCCAGAACACAGGUUCUUUAGCGUUGAUGUCUUUAAAGUAAUUCUUGCACGUCAUGACACAGUUCAGGUUUGAAUUCAUAUCUCUAGAAUCCAAGUAUAUUUAGGUUUGUUCUCCCCUUUCUUGACUAGUGUUCUUGGGGGCGUCUGUGAUGUGUCAUUAAAGAUGAAUUAUUUAAUUAAUAAUUUAAUUUAAUAAUUGAAUGUGGCCAAGAGUAAUGGUUUCAACAGAUGUUUUGCAAAAAGUCUAUUACCUAAUCACCUAACACUGAAAAAAUAGAUUAACAUGGUGUCUACUCUCUCAGGCCCACAGAUAUUUUUAUGGAAUAUGGCAUUAUAAUAAAAUUCCCUAGACUUCAGCUUAAUCUGAAAAACUCAUUAAAGAGAGAUUCAAUACACUCUAGAGUUUUAUAUAGACACUUUAAAGUUAAAUGUGUACCAUAUUUCUGUGGCUUUUUUCCUGAUCACUUACUUUGUAAGACAUUUUAUUUUAGGAGGUUUUUAUUGGAUGAAAUAAAAAAAAAUGGCCCAGAAUUAAUUUGGGCUGCGAAGGCCA
Chrysemys picta bellii (western painted turtle) is the source of this 1217-nucleotide long non-coding RNA. RefSeq lists it as uncharacterized. The record is from RefSeq and is a predicted model, not a curated record. Lineage: Eukaryota; Metazoa; Chordata; Testudines; Emydidae.